This 544-nucleotide long non-coding RNA is filed under the name Mytilus galloprovincialis (Mediterranean mussel). Lineage: Eukaryota; Metazoa; Mollusca; Bivalvia; Mytilida; Mytilidae. The record is from RNAcentral.
GCGUUGCAGAACUCAAGUCGAGUUGUAAAGAUGUAAAGGUUUAAACUCUAGCGCUGCUUAUAUAAAGUCUCGGGGUGUAGAUAUACAGUUAAUCGCAGUAGAUCUAAAAGUUAGCGCUGUAGAUAUUAAGUCAAUCGCUUCAGAUGUAAAUCCCAGCGCUGUAGAUCACACGUUCAGCGCUGUAGAUCACACGUUUAGCGCUGUAGAUGUUAUUCAGCGCUUGACAUUUAAAUUCAUGCGCUAGAGAUGUAAAAUAUAGUGCUGUAGAUCAAACGUCUAGUGCUGGUGACGUAGAUUCCAGUCCUGAAGAUUUAAAGUCCAGUGCUGUAGAUCAAACGUCUGUAGAUUUAUUAAAAUUCUUGUGCUGUUGAUAUGAAGUCCAGCGCAGUCCAUAUAAUGUACAUAUAUUGUAGAAAAAUUGUAUAUUAUUUAAGCCUAAUGAUGCCCUGUAGCUUUCUCUAUCUUAUUUGUAUCGGGGGUUAAUGUAUCGUUGACUUAAAGUCCACGUAUAUUUUUAUUCAUAUUGAUAGGAGCAAUGAAAAGG